GAUGAAGAACGUAGCGAAAUGCGAUACUUGGUGUGGAUUGCAGAAUCCCGUGAACCAUCGAGUCUUUGAACGCAAGUUGCGCCCGAAGCCAUUAGGCCGAGGGCACGCCUGCCUGGGCGUCACACGUCGUUGCCCCCCCAUCUACUCCUUCGGGAUUGCGGGGGGCGGAUGAUGGCCUCCCGUGCGCCUCGUCGCGCGGUUGGCAUAAAUGCCAAGUCCUCGGCGACGCACGCCACGACAAUCGGUGGUUGCGAAACCUCGGUUGCCCGUCGUGUGCGGUCGUCGCGCAUCGAGGGCUCGAAAAAAUUGCCGGGCUCCGGCUCGGCUUUCAACGCGACCCCAGGUCAGGCGGGGUUACCCGCUGAAUUUAAGCAUAUCAAUAAGCGGAGGA
RNAcentral lists this unclassified non-coding RNA (391 nucleotides) under soil metagenome. RNAcentral describes it as "partial contains 5.8S ribosomal RNA, internal transcribed spacer 2, and large subunit ribosomal RNA". The stretch from base 1 to 122 matches the Rfam family "5.8S ribosomal RNA", at positions 35 to 154 of the family's 154-position model. The record is from RNAcentral.